This is a long non-coding RNA of Tachyglossus aculeatus (Australian echidna), 262 nucleotides long. RefSeq lists it as uncharacterized. The record is from RefSeq and is a predicted model, not a curated record. NCBI's taxonomy places the organism in Eukaryota, Metazoa, Chordata, Mammalia, Monotremata, Tachyglossidae. The transcript is spliced from 2 exons.
AGAAUCAUGAGGAUGCCUUGAUCAUUCCAAAGUUGGCUGUUCUUCGCUUCAUCCCUUCCAGAAAUCAGGACAUUCUACCUAUGUCAUCAUAUUCUCCAAGUAUCAACUGUGGGGUUUCCAAGAAUUAUGACCUCAGAUGAGCAAAUAAGUCUGGGUGAGACCCAGCUCAGAAUCAACACUCUUGGUCCACAUUUAUAUUCAAGAGACCCACGUCAUCCAUGCUUUGUGUUUGAUGUCAAAUAAACUGGGAUGUUAAUUGUUA